Cricetulus griseus (Chinese hamster) is the source of this 113-nucleotide unclassified non-coding RNA. Ensembl annotates it as predicted gene, 27804. The record is from Ensembl. NCBI's taxonomy places the organism in Eukaryota, Metazoa, Chordata, Mammalia, Rodentia, Cricetidae.
CUUAGGCCUGCCCCAGCCUUGUGUACCUCUGCUGAAUUGAUGUGGCUGAAAAAGAAAAACAACUUCCUAAAAUGCCUGUCUGAUAACCCCUCAGUACAGUUCCAGGUCUACUC